CUCCUUGCACACACCGCCCGUCGUUUCAUCGAAGCUGGCCUUUAGUGAGGUAGUGUCUAAUUGGCAUUAUCGAGUUUGAGGUCAGUGACGAGGGAA
Molecule: ribosomal RNA, 96 nt
Filed under: uncultured bacterium
Lineage: Bacteria
Description: partial 16S ribosomal RNA
Source: RNAcentral